ACAUGCCAGCGCCAACUGCGGACACUACACUCUCCCAGAGCCGUUUCUCUUACUCUUUUCGCCAGCACGAACACACGCACACACACGUGGUGGUAGCAGCAGCAGACCUUGCCCCCCCCCCAUCCUCCACCCCCUCCCGUACAUCUUUUUCAGCAGGCAAGCCAAGAAAAUGGUGCAGCUUCUCGAGUCCUUCAGGAGCGACAAUGUCUGCCAGUGGAUGGCCGACCACAUCGAGGUGCCAGUUCUCAUUGUGGGCCUGUACAUGGUGAUGGUGUUGUACAUCCCUGACGCGUACAUGAAAAACCGCGAGCCCUUCAAUCUGCGCCAGCUGAACAUGGCGUGGAACCUUCUGCUGACCGUCUUCUCCAUCUGCGGCACCUAUUACUGCCUCCCGCAGCUGUAUCGCACGAUCUUUGUGCCGGAGUUCACCGUGCACGACUACACCAACGGUGGCCAUAUCCAGUGGAAAGGCGGCGUGUACAACGCGUUUUGCUACUGGAACAAGAAUAUCUUCUACGAUGGCCCCGUCGGCGCUUUCUUAUGCCUCUUCGUCCUCAGCAAGAUCCCUGAGAUGCUCGACACCGCCUUCCUUGUCUUUCAGAAGAAGCGCGUCCGCUUCCUCCACUGGUUCCACCACAUGACCACGAUGCUGUACUGCUGGCAUUCGUACGCCAUGAACAUCUCCGGUGCCCUCGUGUUCGCUGGCAUGAACUACGCCAUGCACUCCAUCAUGUACUUCUACUACUUCAUCUGCUCCUGCGGGUACCGGAAGUACGUGCGCCCUAGCGCGCCGGUCAUCACCUUCCUCCAGAUUGCGCAGAUGGUGGUGGGGAUGACCGUGCAGGCCGUGACGCUGUACGUCCUGGGCUUCACGAAUAGGCGUUGUGACUCGAACGCGGCGAAUGCGCGGCUGGGCUUCAUGAUGUAUCUGUCCUACUUCAUCCUCUUCAGCAAGCUCUUCUACGAUAGCUACCUGAAGCCCGCGCCGCCGCACUCGGCUGCCGCGAAGCAUAACGAUGCCACCGCUGUCCCGAACGGCGAGCCGGCAGCAGUGAAAAAGGCUCAGUAGAAGUACAAGGCGGGCCUCCUCGCCUUCCACGCAGCCCCUCUCGCUCGUCCCCAUCGCUGCCUGAGACGGCGUCGUCGUUUUGCGCUCGGCCAGCACAAUUCGCAUGCUCGCGCGCACGCCCAUCCCCCCCCCCGGCUCCUUUGCGUUGUCCACCAUGCUUUUGCCCCUCUUUCGUGUCCUUUUCUGUGUGUUUGCCUCCUCUCGUCUCCGUAGAUUGCGGCAUGCACGGUGCUCACCUCGGCCCUACGCUCCGCACUUAUGCGGAUAACUCAGAGGCGGCACGCGAGGCUCUCCUCCACCAACUGGUCUCUGUCCGCCCCAUCCCUUGCGUGCACACUUUACCCGCACACUCUCGCGGCCAUGGUUUGGAUUCACUUCCCUGGAAUGAGCAGGCGGAGCACGUGUAUGCAAGUCCCACUUGUUCAUCCAGGUUGUCACGCGGGGAAGGGUGUGAUGGCGUGUGAGCCAUGGGGUUUGGAGGGCGACGAAAAAGGUUCAGCCGCUUCUGCAGUGGCAGCCUGUAUCCGUGGCCAGCGGGCAAUAAGGAAACGAGUGACGUGUGAGGGGAGCGACGGACGAGAGACGGGCCAACUCGCCGCGAAGGCGAGCGACGAGGCGAAUCGAAGUUAUGCGUUCCUCAUUUUUGUUUUUCUCUUGUCUUCUCCCUCCCACCCUCUGUCACGCCUCCUUCACGAUAAGGACGUUGAUGCGGACAUCACCCAAAAUUCACUUCUCCCUCUUUCUCUGUUUUCGCUUUUUUGUGUCCGUGAACGUGCCCGGGCGACCUGGAGACACCCCAGCGUGGCAUCUCAGGGUCCGGUGCCCCCCCCCAAAUCACCCCCCACUCAUUGUGGGGAGGAAGCCGAGCAGCCCCUUCGCCGUGCCAGCCACCGCGCCACUUCCGGUGGUGACAGUGUCGAGCACCUACGACGUAAGGGUGUGGGCUCCGUGCGAUUUAGCGCCACUGAGGUUGGCGGUGAGGCCGUGGGAUGGCGUUGCGUUGGAGCUGCAUGCGACCGUGAACACGUUUGCACGAUUCGUAUGAUGGGUAAAGCGUCUGCGCGACUCCAACGUACGCCACGCGGCCAUGGCUGCCUACCGGUGCCGGGAGCCUGUGCCGCGCCGAGAGGGGGGAGGGAUGCAGCACGUGCGCCCGGCAUGAUGGGGGAGCGGCUGUGAGGCGACCUGCGAGGCGGGCGGGUAGCGCUGGAGGCAGGGGCCGUGCUCCGAUGGCCGGGUCGGCAUUUUGCUGUAAGGCGUGUCCACCGGCUGCCUCGCACCACGCGAUGGGGCCUGUGACGGGCCGGGGGAGGGGGUAGGAGUGGCGUGUCACCCUGGUUGCACGGCGGAGAACGGACACGUUGAAAAGGCCGUUCUCCUGUCGGUCUGUCGAGGUGCGCAUCGCUCUAGCGUUCUUUGCGGGUAGCGUGGCGAUGGUGGCGUUGGCGCGGAUGUCUUGCCCCGCCCGUCCCCGCUGUUACGCCGACACGGUCUUGUUUUCUUUUGUUAUUUGCUGGUGUUAUUAUCAUUGUUAUCAUUAUUUGCUCUGGCUGCCUGUUGCGUCUCUCUUUAUAAAGUGUCUUCGCCUUAAUCUCCACCCCUUAUAUAUACCCCAGCUCAUUUUUCUGGAUUCACCAGAUAUCGCCACAUGCGGGUCAGUGUGUGUGUGUGUCUCUCAGGUAUGGCUGCAAAGCCGCUGCUGGCCUCUAUCGAAGGAUUCGGAUUCGCAUUGUUGUUGGUGCCGUUGAUCUGCGUGCCGUACUUCUUCGCUGCGCACACAGAGGUAAACACACGCGCGCAUUUAUUUUUCUUUUAUAUACAGUCUCUCUAUACUACUGCGCUGCCCUGCGGAGGAGGGAGGCGCGGACGGGACGCUUGGCCGGCCCGUCCAACGCGGCGCGCGCGUUUCCUUUUCCCCUGUGUCUUCACGAUCUAUUUAUACACCCCUCAUAUGCGUUUUUUUUUUCUGUUUUGCGCUUUUGUGUUUUUCGAGCAACAACAUGAGAACGUGCCCAUGGCGCAGACGCGCGUGUGCAUACGUGAGCUCCAGGAAGCCAGAGAAAGAGAGGCGGCGGCGGAAGAAGCAGCGACCGAGACUCGGCCGCAGUCGAAGCACUCGUAGCUGCCGCGCGAGCGCGCAGACACGCAUGCACGCAAGGGGUGGUUGUGUUGGUGCACCCCGCUGCUGUGUGCCUGUAUGCGAGUCGUUCUCUCUCUCUGUGGGUGUCUUCCUUGGCUGAAGGGUGGCGCUGUUUGCGCAAGCGCGAUCGCGCACCUUGAGGAAGACGCCAGUGGUGGUGGUUGACGACCUCGCGAAGGACGUCAGAGCAUUGACUUCAUUGAUGCUGUGGCUCUUCUCUUCGUGUCUGUGUGUGUGGCCUCUCCUCCUUUCAUGCUGGCCCUCACGCCGACCCGCUGAUCGGAUAAGACACUCCGUUUGUGUCCCGCCCCUCCAUGUAUGCUGAAGCUGGAGUAGGCGAAGUAGAUGAGAAAGUCUGCGGGUUGCGGCCACGUACGCCACCAUCAGGCCGCCGGCUUACGCACUCUUGCGGUGCCGCCGCGCCCACUUGGGCUCCCUUUUCUCCACGAUGCAAGUUGCUAUGCUCGUUUGUUGGUGUCUUCGGUCGGUCGUUGCUGUUUUGGUAAUGCCGCCCCACUCACCCAGCGACCGCGCCGUGUGUGUCCGUAGAAGCCUGCGUGACCUCCACGGCUUCCACCUCUCCCUGUGUCGUGCGCUUUUGUCGUCUGCCGUCUGCCGUCUGCCGUGCACGUGCCCGGACGACCUGGAGACACCCCAGCGUGGCAUCUCAGGGUCCGGUGCCCCCUCCCCAAAAAUCACCCCCCACUCAUUGUGGGGAGGAAGCCGAGCAGCCCCUUCGCCGUGCCAGCCACCGCGCCACUUCCGGUGGUGACAGUGUCGAGCACCUACGACGUAAGGGUGUGGGCUCCGUGCGAUUUAGCGCCACUGAGGUUGGCGGUGAGGCCGUGGGAUGGCGUUGCGUUGGAGCUGCAUGCGACCGUGAACACGUUUGCACGAUUCGUAUGAUGGGUAAAGCGUCUGCGCGACUCCAACGUACGCCACGCGGCCAUGGCUGCCUACCGGUGCCGGGAGCCUGUGCCGCGCCGAGAGGGGGGAGGGAUGCAGCACGUGCGCCCGGCAUGAUGGGGGAGCGGCUGUGAGGCGACCUGCGAGGCGGGCGGGUAGCGCUGGAGGCAGGGGCCGUGCUCCGAUGGCCGGGUCGGCAUUUUGCUGUAAGGCGUGUCCACCGGCUGCCUCGCACCACGCGAUGGGGCCUGUGACGGGCCGGGGGAGGGGGUAGGAGUGGCGUGUCACCCUGGUUGCACGGCGGAGAACGGACACGUUGAAAAGGCCGUUCUCCUGUCGGUCUGUCGAGGUGCGCAUCGCUCUAGCGUUCUUUGCGGGUAGCGUGGCGAUGGUGGCGUUGGCGCGGAUGUCUUGCCCCGCCCGUCCCCGCUGUUACGCCGACACGGUCUUGUUUUCUUUUGUUAUUUGCUGGUGUUAUUAUCAUUGUUAUCAUUAUUUGCUCUGGCUGCCUGUUGCGUCUCUCUUUAUAAAGUGUCUUCGCCUUAAUCUCCACCCCUUAUAUAUACCCCAGCUCAUUUUUCUGGAUUCACCAGAUAUCGCCACAUGCGGGUCAGUGUGUGUGUGUGUCUCUCAGGUAUGGCUGCAAAGCCGCUGCUGGCCUCUAUCGAAGGAUUCGGAUUCGCAUUGUUGUUGGUGCCGUUGAUCUGCGUGCCGUACUUCUUCGCUGCGCACACAGAGGUAAACACACGCGCGCAUUUAUUUUUCUUUUAUAUACAGUCUCUCUAUACUACUGCGCUGCCCUGCGGAGGAGGGAGGCGCGGACGGGACGCUUGGCCGGCCCGUCCAACGCGGCGCGCGCGUUUCCUUUUCCCCUGUGUCUUCACGAUCUAUUUAUACACCCCUCAUAUGCGUUUUUUUUUCUGUUUUGCGCUUUUGUGUUUUUCGAGCAACAACAUGAGAACGUGCCCAUGGCGCAGACGCGCGUGUGCAUACGUGAGCUCCAGGAAGCCAGAGAAAGAGAGGCGGCGGCGGAAGAAGCAGCGACCGAGACUCGGCCGCAGUCGAAGCACUCGUAGCUGCCGCGCGAGCGCGCAGACACGCAUGCACGCAAGGGGUGGUUGUGUUGGUGCACCCCGCUGCUGUGUGCCUGUAUGCGAGUCGUUCUCUCUCUCUGUGGGUGUCUUCCUUGGCUGAAGGGUGGCGCUGUUUGCGCAAGCGCGAUCGCGCACCUUGAGGAAGACGCCAGUGGUGGUGGUUGACGACCUCGCGAAGGACGUCAGAGCAUUGACUUCAUUGAUGCUGUGGCUCUUCUCUUCGUGUCUGUGUGUGUGGCCUCUCCUCCUUUCAUGCUGGCCCUCACGCCGACCCGCUGAUCGGAUAAGACACUCCGUUUGUGUCCCGCCCCUCCAUGUAUGCUGAAGCUGGAGUAGGCGAAGUAGAUGAGAAAGUCUGCGGGUUGCGGCCACGUACGCCACCAUCAGGCCGCCGGCUUACGCACUCUUGCGGUGCCGCCGCGCCCACUUGGGCUCCCUUUUCUCCACGAUGCAAGUUGCUAUGCUCGUUUGUUGGUGUCUUCGGUCGGUCGUUGCUGUUUUGGUAAUGCCGCCCCACUCACCCAGCGACCGCGCCGUGUGUGUCCGUAGAAGCCUGCGUGACCUCCACGGCUUCCACCUCUCCCUGUGUCGUGCGCUUUUGUCGUCUGCCGUCUGCCGUCUGCCGUGCACGUGCCCGGACGACCUGGAGACACCCCAGCGUGGCAUCUCAGGGUCCGGUGCCCCCUCCCCCAAAAAUCACCCCCCACUCAUUGUGGGGAGGAAGCCGAGCAGCCCCUUCGCCGUGCCAGCCACCGCGCCACUUCCGGUGGUGACAGUGUCGAGCACCUACGACGUAAGGGUGUGGGCUCCGUGCGAUUUAGCGCCACUGAGGUUGGCGGUGAGGCCGUGGGAUGGCGUUGCGUUGGAGCUGCAUGCGACCGUGAACACGUUUGCACGAUUCGUAUGAUGGGUAAAGCGUCUGCGCGACUCCAACGUACGCCACGCGGCCAUGGCUGCCUACCGGUGCCGGGAGCCUGUGCCGCGCCGAGAGGGGGGAGGGAUGCAGCACGUGCGCCCGGCAUGAUGGGGGAGCGGCUGUGAGGCGACCUGCGAGGCGGGCGGGUAGCGCUGGAGGCAGGGGCCGUGCUCCGAUGGCCGGGUCGGCAUUUUGCUGUAAGGCGUGUCCACCGGCUGCCUCGCACCACGCGAUGGGGCCUGUGACGGGCCGGGGGGAGGGGGUAGGAGUGGCGUGUCACCCUGGUUGCACGGCGGAGAACGGACACGUUGAAAAGGCCGUUCUCCUGUCGGUCUGUCGAGGUGCGCAUCGCUCUAGCGUUCUUUGCGGGUAGCGUGGCGAUGGUGGCGUUGGCGCGGAUGUCUUGCCCCGCCCGUCCCCGCUGUUACGCCGACACGGUCUUGUUUUCUUUUGUUAUUUGCUGGUGUUAUUAUCAUUGUUAUCAUUAUUUGCUCUGGCUGCCUGUUGCGUCUCUCUUUAUAAAGUGUCUUCGCCUUAAUCUCCACCCCUUAUAUAUACCCCAGCUCAUUUUUCUGGAUUCACCAGAUAUCGCCACAUGCGGGUCAGUGUGUGUGUGUGUCUCUCAGGUAUGGCUGCAAAGCCGCUGCUGGCCUCUAUCGAAGGAUUCGGAUUCGCAUUGUUGUUGGUGCCGUUGAUCUGCGUGCCGUACUUCUUCGCUGCGCACACAGAGGUAAACACACGCGCGCAUUUAUUUUUCUUUUAUAUACAGUCUCUCUAUACUACUGCGCUGCCCUGCGGAGGAGGGAGGCGCGGACGGGACGCUUGGCCGGCCCGUCCAACGCGGCGCGCGCGUUUCCUUUUCCCCUGUGUCUUCACGAUCUAUUUAUACACCCCUCAUAUGCGUUUUUUUUUCUGUUUUGCGCUUUUGUGUUUUUCGAGCAACAACAUGAGAACGUGCCCAUGGCGCAGACGCGCGUGUGCAUACGUGAGCUCCAGGAAGCCAGAGAAAGAGAGGCGGCGGCGGAAGAAGCAGCGACCGAGACUCGGCCGCAGUCGAAGCACUCGUAGCUGCCGCGCGAGCGCGCAGACACGCAUGCACGCAAGGGGUGGUUGUGUUGGUGCACCCCGCUGCUGUGUGCCUGUAUGCGAGUCGUUCUCUCUCUCUGUGGGUGUCUUCCUUGGCUGAAGGGUGGCGCUGUUUGCGCAAGCGCGAUCGCGCACCUUGAGGAAGACGCCAGUGGUGGUGGUUGACGACCUCGCGAAGGACGUCAGAGCAUUGACUUCAUUGAUGCUGUGGCUCUUCUCUUCGUGUCUGUGUGUGUGGCCUCUCCUCCUUUCAUGCUGGCCCUCACGCCGACCCGCUGAUCGGAUAAGACACUCCGUUUGUGUCCCGCCCCUCCAUGUAUGCUGAAGCUGGAGUAGGCGAAGUAGAUGAGAAAGUCUGCGGGUUGCGGCCACGUACGCCACCAUCAGGCCGCCGGCUUACGCACUCUUGCGGUGCCGCCGCGCCCACUUGGGCUCCCUUUUCUCCACGAUGCAAGUUGCUAUGCUCGUUUGUUGGUGUCUUCGGUCGGUCGUUGCUGUUUUGGUAAUGCCGCCCCACUCACCCAGCGACCGCGCCGUGUGUGUCCGUAGAAGCCUGCGUGACCUCCACGGCUUCCACCUCUCCCUGUGUCGUGCGCUUUUGUCGUCUGCCGUCUGCCGUCUGCCGUGCACGUGCCCGGACGACCUGGAGACACCCCAGCGUGGCAUCUCAGGGUCCGGUGCCCCCUCCCCCAAAAAUCACCCCCCACUCAUUGUGGGGAGGAAGCCGAGCAGCCCCUUCGCCGUGCCAGCCACCGCGCCACUUCCGGUGGUGACAGUGUCGAGCACCUACGACGUAAGGGUGUGGGCUCCGUGCGAUUUAGCGCCACUGAGGUUGGCGGUGAGGCCGUGGGAUGGCGUUGCGUUGGAGCUGCAUGCGACCGUGAACACGUUUGCACGAUUCGUAUGAUGGGUAAAGCGUCUGCGCGACUCCAACGUACGCCACGCGGCCAUGGCUGCCUACCGGUGCCGGGAGCCUGUGCCGCGCCGAGAGGGGGGAGGGAUGCAGCACGUGCGCCCGGCAUGAUGGGGGAGCGGCUGUGAGGCGACCUGCGAGGCGGGCGGGUAGCGCUGGAGGCAGGGGCCGUGCUCCGAUGGCCGGGUCGGCAUUUUGCUGUAAGGCGUGUCCACCGGCUGCCUCGCACCACGCGAUGGGGCCUGUGACGGGCCGGGGGGAGGGGGUAGGAGUGGCGUGUCACCCUGGUUGCACGGCGGAGAACGGACACGUUGAAAAGGCCGUUCUCCUGUCGGUCUGUCGAGGUGCGCAUCGCUCUAGCGUUCUUUGCGGGUAGCGUGGCGAUGGUGGCGUUGGCGCGGAUGUCUUGCCCCGCCCGUCCCCGCUGUUACGCCGACACGGUCUUGUUUUCUUUUGUUAUUUGCUGGUGUUAUUAUCAUUGUUAUCAUUAUUUGCUCUGGCUGCCUGUUGCGUCUCUCUUUAUAAAGUGUCUUCGCCUUAAUCUCCACCCCUUAUAUAUACCCCAGCUCAUUUUUCUGGAUUCACCAGAUAUCGCCACAUGCGGGUCAGUGUGUGUGUGUGUCUCUCAGGUAUGGCUGCAAAGCCGCUGCUGGCCUCUAUCGAAGGAUUCGGAUUCGCAUUGUUGUUGGUGCCGUUGAUCUGCGUGCCGUACUUCUUCGCUGCGCACACAGAGGUAAACACACGCGCGCAUUUAUUUUUCUUUUAUAUACAGUCUCUCUAUACUACUGCGCUGCCCUGCGGAGGAGGGAGGCGCGGACGGGACGCUUGGCCGGCCCGUCCAACGCGGCGCGCGCGUUUCCUUUUCCCCUGUGUCUUCACGAUCUAUUUAUACACCCCUCAUAUGCGUUUUUUUUUCUGUUUUGCGCUUUUGUGUUUUUCGAGCAACAACAUGAGAACGUGCCCAUGGCGCAGACGCGCGUGUGCAUACGUGAGCUCCAGGAAGCCAGAGAAAGAGAGGCGGCGGCGGAAGAAGCAGCGACCGAGACUCGGCCGCAGUCGAAGCACUCGUAGCUGCCGCGCGAGCGCGCAGACACGCAUGCACGCAAGGGGUGGUUGUGUUGGUGCACCCCGCUGCUGUGUGCCUGUAUGCGAGUCGUUCUCUCUCUCUGUGGGUGUCUUCCUUGGCUGAAGGGUGGCGCUGUUUGCGCAAGCGCGAUCGCGCACCUUGAGGAAGACGCCAGUGGUGGUGGUUGACGACCUCGCGAAGGACGUCAGAGCAUUGACUUCAUUGAUGCUGUGGCUCUUCUCUUCGUGUCUGUGUGUGUGGCCUCUCCUCCUUUCAUGCUGGCCCUCACGCCGACCCGCUGAUCGGAUAAGACACUCCGUUUGUGUCCCGCCCCUCCAUGUAUGCUGAAGCUGGAGUAGGCGAAGUAGAUGAGAAAGUCUGCGGGUUGCGGCCACGUACGCCACCAUCAGGCCGCCGGCUUACGCACUCUUGCGGUGCCGCCGCGCCCACUUGGGCUCCCUUUUCUCCACGAUGCAAGUUGCUAUGCUCGUUUGUUGGUGUCUUCGGUCGGUCGUUGCUGUUUUGGUAAUGCCGCCCCACUCACCCAGCGACCGCGCCGUGUGUGUCCGUAGAAGCCUGCGUGACCUCCACGGCUUCCACCUCUCCCUGUGUCGUGCGCUUUUGUCGUCUGCCGUCUGCCGUCUGCCGUGCACGUGCCCGGACGACCUGGAGACACCCCAGCGUGGCAUCUCAGGGUCCGGUGCCCCCUCCCCCAAAAAUCACCCCCCACUCAUUGUGGGGAGGAAGCCGAGCAGCCCCUUCGCCGUGCCAGCCACCGCGCCACUUCCGGUGGUGACAGUGUCGAGCACCUACGACGUAAGGGUGUGGGCUCCGUGCGAUUUAGCGCCACUGAGGUUGGCGGUGAGGCCGUGGGAUGGCGUUGCGUUGGAGCUGCAUGCGACCGUGAACACGUUUGCACGAUUCGUAUGAUGGGUAAAGCGUCUGCGCGACUCCAACGUACGCCACGCGGCCAUGGCUGCCUACCGGUGCCGGGAGCCUGUGCCGCGCCGAGAGGGGGGAGGGAUGCAGCACGUGCGCCCGGCAUGAUGGGGGAGCGGCUGUGAGGCGACCUGCGAGGCGGGCGGGUAGCGCUGGAGGCAGGGGCCGUGCUCCGAUGGCCGGGUCGGCAUUUUGCUGUAAGGCGUGUCCACCGGCUGCCUCGCACCACGCGAUGGGGCCUGUGACGGGCCGGGGGGAGGGGUAGGAGUGGCGUGUCACCCUGGUUGCACGGCGGAGAACGGACACGUUGAAAAGGCCGUUCUCCUGUCGGUCUGUCGAGGUGCGCAUCGCUCUAGCGUUCUUUGCGGGUAGCGUGGCGAUGGUGGCGUUGGCGCGGAUGUCUUGCCCCGCCCGUCCCCGCUGUUACGCCGACACGGUCUUGUUUUCUUUUGUUAUUUGCUGGUGUUAUUAUCAUUGUUAUCAUUAUUUGCUCUGGCUGCCUGUUGCGUCUCUCUUUAUAAAGUGUCUUCGCCUUAAUCUCCACCCCUUAUAUAUACCCCAGCUCAUUUUUCUGGAUUCACCAGAUAUCGCCACAUGCGGGUCAGUGUGUGUGUGUGUCUCUCAGGUAUGGCUGCAAAGCCGCUGCUGGCCUCUAUCGAAGGAUUCGGAUUCGCAUUGUUGUUGGUGCCGUUGAUCUGCGUGCCGUACUUCUUCGCUGCGCACACAGAGGUAAACACACGCGCGCAUUUAUUUUUCUUUUAUAUACAGUCUCUCUAUACUACUGCGCUGCCCUGCGGAGGAGGGAGGCGCGGACGGGACGCUUGGCCGGCCCGUCCAACGCGGCGCGCGCGUUUCCUUUUCCCCUGUGUCUUCACGAUCUAUUUAUACACCCCUCAUAUGCGUUUUUUUUUCUGUUUUGCGCUUUUGUGUUUUUCGAGCAACAACAUGAGAACGUGCCCAUGGCGCAGACGCGCGUGUGCAUACGUGAACUCCAGGAAGCCAGAGAAAGAGAGGCGGCGGAGGAAGAAGCAGCGACCGAGACUCGGCCGCAGUCGAAGCACUCGUAGCUGCCGCGCGAGCGCGCAGACACGCAUGCACGCAAGGGGUGGUUGUGUUGGUGCACCCCGCUGCUGUGUGCCUGUAUGCGAGUCGUUCUCUCUCUCUUUCGCUGUGCUUGCCUCUUGUGUGUUGGUGUGCAUCUCCGCUGCUGCAAGUUCUGUCGGUGGGGAGGGCAUGCGCAGUGCGACUGCAUCACCGAAAAGAUGAUGGUGGGACGCCGUUCAUGGGUUGCUUUUGCUUUCUUUUUUUUGUGUCCGACUGACGCAUC
RNAcentral lists this unclassified non-coding RNA (11456 nucleotides) under Leishmania donovani. RNAcentral describes it as "gene:LdHU3.14.0950(CDS-product:fatty_acid_elongas e_putative)". The record is from RNAcentral. Lineage: Eukaryota; Euglenozoa; Kinetoplastea; Trypanosomatida; Trypanosomatidae.